CAGCAGUGCGCAGGGCUG
RNAcentral lists this microRNA (18 nucleotides) under Homo sapiens (human). Its description in RNAcentral is "hsa-miR-4519". Lineage: Eukaryota; Metazoa; Chordata; Mammalia; Primates; Hominidae. The record is from miRBase by way of RNAcentral.